Molecule: ribosomal RNA, 1089 nt
Filed under: Triticum aestivum (bread wheat)
Lineage: Eukaryota; Viridiplantae; Streptophyta; Magnoliopsida; Poales; Poaceae
Description: partial small subunit ribosomal RNA
Source: RNAcentral
AUGGAUUUGAGUUUGUCUCAUACGCUUCAUCUUUUUAAUAUCUUUCGUGAGAACGAUGGAAAGGAAAAUUGUGCUCAAGUGCUAGAAGAAGAAAUCUAUAGAAUGUUUGAUACUAAAUCUUUGAAUGAUGAGCAUGAUUUCAGUGUUGUUAGUAUGAAUUCCUUGAACAUCCAUGAUGCUAAUGAUAUGCAAAGCCACAAGCUUGGGGAAGCUAUGUUUGAUGAAUAUGAUAUUUUUUGUCCCCCAAGUUUUGAUGAGCACAUUUAUUUUGAUGAAAGCAUGCCUCCUAUUUAUGAUGAUUAUAUUGAUGAAAGUGGGUUUGGAAGAGUGUCAACUUUAGAAAGUAGUGAUCCCACUAUUUUGGAGGAUGUUGAAUCUUAUUGUGAUGAACAUGAAAGUGGAUUUGGAAGAGUGUCAACUUUAUUUAGUGAUGAUUCCACCAUUUUGGAAGAGGUUACAAUUGAUUAUGAGAACAAAGUUGCUAUCUAUGAUGAUUAUUGUGAUGACCUGUAUGCUAUUAGAAAUAAUGAUAACCAUGAAACUUGUCAUUAUGAUUUUAGUUUUCAAUUGGAUUAUGCCUCACAUGAUAAUUAUUUUGUUGAGUUUGCUCUCACUAUUAUUCAUGAGAAGAAUUUUGCUUUUGUGGAGAGUAGUAAAUUUUCUAUGCUUGUAGAUCAUGAAAGGAAUGCUUUAUGUGCUGGUUAUAUUGUUGAAUUCCUUCAUGAUGCUACUGAAAAUUAUUAUGAGGGAGGAACAUAUGCUUGUAGGAAUUGCAAUAAUAUCAAGUUUCCUCUCUAUGUGCUUAAAAUCUUGAAGCUAUGCUUGUUUUACCUUCAUAUGCUAGUUGAUUAUUGUUCCCAUAAGUUGUUUGCUCACAAAACCCCCAUGCAUAGGAAGAGGGUUAGACUUAAAUGUGCUAGUCAUAUGCUUCAUGAUGCUCCUGUUAUGUUUCAAUUCUUAUCUUUUACGUGGGCAUCAUUGUCAUCAUCAUGCCUAGCUAGAAAGGCAUUAAAGAAAAGCGCUUGUUGGGAGACAACCCAAUAUUUAUCCUUACAGUUUUUGUGUUUUCACAUGAUUAUGAUACUGUAG